Saccostrea echinata is the source of this 561-nucleotide long non-coding RNA. RefSeq lists it as uncharacterized. Lineage: Eukaryota; Metazoa; Mollusca; Bivalvia; Ostreida; Ostreidae. The record is from RefSeq and is a predicted model, not a curated record. The transcript has 4 exons.
ACACAGAAGAAAAAAUGUGGAAGAUCUUGGUUCUGCUAGCUGUGGUUCUUGUAAUACAAGAUACUGAUGGUUUCUGGUGGAGAAGAAGAAGGUAUGUACACACGGCAACAGUAUGUGAACAUCGCCUAAUGAAAUUGAAUUGCGGAGGACAUCGGUCCAUUCUAGUGCACUCUGCUACGUAUGGCCGACAAAACUCGAGAACCUGUUCAAGAAAGUAUACUAGUCAUUGGAGCACAACUUGUAGAUCCAGAAAAUCCCUGUUUGUAGUAAAAAAAAUUAUGCCACGGGAAAAGUAGAUGCUCCAUUAAAGCCAGCAAUUCCGUAUUUGGAGAUCCAUGUAAAGGAACCUACAAAUACCUAAGAGUGAAGUUUUAUUGCAAAAAGAGACGCUUUCGCGGAAGAGAUCUGUAUGAGGAAAUCGGAAGAGGUCUGAAUGAGGAAGACCAAAGAGAGAUUGAAGACAUGAGGAGGCCAGGAUAGAUGAAGAUAUGGAGUAACUAAGAAACUCAAGUCUGAAAUUGUGUUCUUAGUGUCACUACAUUAAAACAAGUAAUGAGAACA